UGUGCCCUCUCACGUAGAGCGCUCAAACAAGGGAAAGAGCCAGAGAUACAGGCCACAGGAAACGCAGCGCAGGUGCUGUAGCCCUGCUCGAAUAUCGGCACACCCUGCCGCAGAGGAGUUUGGCGUGCACACCGGCGGGUGAUGCGGCGCCGCGAGCCCCUCUUCGUUUUGAUUGAUUUCGCUCUCUAUCCCUCCGGAAUGGCCGUUCUCCGAUGCAGAGUUGUCACCGCGGCGAGCCGCCUCCUGGCCUUCGUGCUGGCGCCCUACGCCGAACCCUCGUUCAAUCUUCUAGACUACUUGGGUACGUGCACUGACACGGCGCUCGUCCUCUGCGUCGCCGUCGCACGACUCCUUCUCCUCUGCCUCAUGUGGUUCAGCCGCGCUGUCGCUCCGAUCGCCUUUGGCGCUCCAGGGGGCACAUUCGUCUUCGACACGGGUGAGGAGCUCUACGACGACGCACGCUUCUCGAUGGUGCGCAACUGGGACGGCGUGCACAUGUUCUUCAUUGCCCAAUACGGGUAUCUGUAUGAGAGCCAAAUCGUCUUCUUUCCUGGUUUACCGGCGCUGAUCCGCGGCCUGGAGCACAUCACGCGGCGACUCGUCCCAGUUCUGCACCGAGUUGCACCAGUUGCCUUCUAUGUGUGCCUGAUGAACACAGCUGCCUCCUGCCUUGCCGGCGUGGUGCUACGACGUCUCACCAUCCUGACAUUUCUAGGGCCCGAAGCGGUGCGAUGCACCUGCCGGUGGCGCCCGUCCAAGCUGUCUCCGUCGACCCCUGAGUUGGAGAAGCCGAGAAAGUAUCCGAAGGCGCAACUCGACAUGGCAACGGAGAGGACAAUGCAGAGCACGACAGAGGCGACCGUCUGCUACCGCCUUAUGUGUAGAAUGACCGGCACGGUCCUGGAUGCGCCUGACAUCCACGCCCCGCUCCCCGCAACCGUGGCGGAGGCGAAGGCAGGCGCGCUGCUCCGUCGCCGCGUGGUGGGCGGGGCAGCGCUGGUGUGGAUCAUCACACCCGCCAUGGUGUUUGCCGUCGCCGUGUACACGGAGAGCCUAUUUUCGUUAGCCACAAUACUAGGCGUGUACUUUCUCGCGUGGCAUGAGCCGCUGCCGCAGGCUGUGCAGCUGCGUAUAGCGUCGUAUCUGGCGAGCGCCACGCCGCCUGGCUCAGGUGCAAGAGCAGCAGACAAAGCAUCGGCACCAGCACGACUUGUCCCCCCUGCCCCUCUCGUUCAGCAGUGGCCCUUGGCGGCAAACGACGUCGGCGACGGUGCCGCGGCACGCAGCCGCAUCCCCGGGAUUGCCUCACUCCUGCCGAGCAUCACCCCUGGAGCGUCCAGGGCGAUCACGGUGAAGUGGGAGCAGCGCUUCCUCAGCAGCACAGAGGUGGCGGCGGUGUUGCUGUUCACGCUGGCCGGCACCUUUCGCUCCAACGCAUUCACCUGCGCUGGAUUUCUUAUCUUUCCCCUCUGUGUGCAGGUGGCGCUGCCGGCGGUGCACAAGGCGCAGGCUUCCGCGGUGCUGGCUGGAGUGUCAGCGCGUGCGGUCAUGUCCGCGGCCGCAAAGCGUGGCGGCGCAAGGGAGAGUGGGGCAGCCCUUGUUGUGCGCUGCCCCACUCUCCGCCCGCCUCUGCAGCGCAUGCCGCACCCGCUUCGCAUGUGCAUGGUGGCGCUGGAGUGCAUCUGUGUGGCGCUGCCAUACCUUGUCAUGAACUACGUGGGAUAUCGGCGCUUUGUGCUGCAGACGUGGGACGCCGCCGCCAAGAAAACGGUGGGCCACGCCUUCUGGCGGCUGUACCCCAUGCUGCAGAAGAAGUACUGGGGCGUGAGCCUCUUCUCCGCCUACACGUUCACCAACUCCCCCAACGUGGUGUUGGCGCUCCCAGUGGCGGUGCUAACCGUAUGGUGCCUCCACGCCCACUAUUUGGCGCCAGCAUGGGCAAACCUCAGAGCCGCGACGGCGGCCGCUGCCGGAGCACGGCGCACGAGGUGGCAGCAUUUGUGGAUUGCCGCCAUGCCGCUGGUGAGCUCCUCGAACGUGAUGCACCUUAUCGGGCUAUUGGCACUAGCCCUGACAGUCAUGCACGUGCAGGUGACGAAUCGCUUUGUCGCGACAAGCCCGGCGCUGUACUGGCUGCUUGGCAUGCAGCUUGCAUCGAGGCCGACGAGCCGCGCUAGCAGGCUCACCCUGCUGUGGUGCAUUCUGUGGGGCAUGGCUGGCGGUAUUCUCUUUCCGAAUCACCUUCCCUGGACGUGAAGAAGGCACACGUGACACGCACUCGCACGGGGACUCGUUUUGGCUUCUGCCGUGCUUUCGAGUCCGCGGGGGUGAGGCAAGGAAAGGGCGGGGGUCGCUUUCUCUGAGAGAGGGCGAAGAGAGAAGGGCGUGCUCCUCCCGCUCUGCCCCUAGGCGCUGGCCCUGUGCGUGCGUGCGCUGGAGGUAGCAGCGGGCGGGGGGGGGAAGAACUGCAGAGACGCGCAAGUUUUGAAUGCUGGAGAAGACAGCGAUAGAAAAG
RNAcentral lists this unclassified non-coding RNA (2515 nucleotides) under Leishmania donovani. Its description in RNAcentral is "gene:LdHU3.18.1210(CDS-product:mannosyltransferas e-II_putative)". Lineage: Eukaryota; Euglenozoa; Kinetoplastea; Trypanosomatida; Trypanosomatidae. The record is from RNAcentral.